CGGGAGGAGUGGGAGCUCCUAUCCCAGCCAGAGAAGCAGCUGUACCAGAACCAAAUGCUGAGGAAUUACCGGGCGCUCGUUUUCCUGGCGCUUGUUUACUGUGCACCCGCCAUCUCUGUGUGAAAGGAUGGAUCCCACACAGCUCUGUUAACUGUCAUUAGCCCAUCGCAGAUUGCAGUGCACUUAAUCUUGAGGUUCCUAUCUGAACAUGAGUCAGAGCUGCCUGACUGCCGUGGGCCACGGAUAGAAACAAUGCCAGAUACUUUUGGCAUUCAUGGUGCAGCUGCACAUGGUGAACCAUCUCUUUUGGGCUAAGGAAACAAGCACUGAGUGAUGCAAUUGCAUCAUUAUGCCAGUCUGGGAUGAAGAGCAGCAGCUGCAGAACUUUCAGAUGCGGAAAGCCACCUUCCUGGAACUUUGUGCAGCUCUCGCCCCAGCACUGCAACUCAAGGACAUCAAAAUGAGAGCUUCACUCUUGGUGGAGAAGCACGUAGUGAUUGCAUUUAGGAAGCUGGCGACUCCUGACUGCUACCAGUUGGUCAUGAAUCAGUUUGGAGUCAGGUAGUUGACCACUGGGGCUGUGUUAGCACAAGUGUGCAGGGCCAUUAAUCGCAUCCUGCCACGAAGGACCAUGACUCUUGGCAAUGUGCGUGAAAUAGUGGGUGGCUUUGCGGAAAUGCGUUUCCCUAAGUGUGGAGGGACGAUAGAUGGCACGCAUAUCCCAAUUUUGGCACUGGACCACAUUGCCACAGAAUAUGUCAUUAGCAAGGGCUAAUUCUUCAUGGUUUUGUGGGUGUUUCAUUGACAUUAGCAUGGGGAGGUCCAGGAAAGUGAAUGAUGCAUGCAUCUUCAGGAAC
This is a long non-coding RNA of Chelonoidis abingdonii (Abingdon island giant tortoise), 857 nucleotides long. RefSeq lists it as uncharacterized. The record is from RefSeq and is a predicted model, not a curated record. Lineage: Eukaryota; Metazoa; Chordata; Testudines; Testudinidae.